This 328-nucleotide unclassified non-coding RNA is filed under the name soil metagenome. Its description in RNAcentral is "partial contains 5.8S ribosomal RNA, internal transcribed spacer 2, and large subunit ribosomal RNA". The stretch from base 1 to 119 matches the Rfam family "5.8S ribosomal RNA", at positions 35 to 154 of the family's 154-position model. The record is from RNAcentral.
GAUGAAGAACGCAGCGAAAUGCGAUAAGUAAUGCGAAUUGCAGAAUCCGUGAGUCAUCGAAUCUUUGAACGCACAUUGCGCCCCUUGGUAUUCCGAGGGGCAUGCCUGUUCGAGCGUCAUUAUAACCCCUCAAGCUCAGCUUGGUGUUGGGGCCUGCUGCACUGGCAGCCCUUAAAAUCAGUGGCGGCGCCAUCUGGCUCUAAGCGUAGUAAUUCUUCUCGCUAUGGAGUCCUGGUGGAUGCUUGCCAUCAACCCCCAAUUUUUCUAUGGUUGACCUCGGAUCAGGUAGGGAUACCCGCUGAACUUAAGCAUAUCAAUAAGCGGAGGA